Non-coding RNA from Paramormyrops kingsleyae, 3409 nucleotides. The record is from RefSeq and is a predicted model, not a curated record. Lineage: Eukaryota; Metazoa; Chordata; Actinopteri; Osteoglossiformes; Mormyridae.
UCCAUACUUAGAUCAGUAUGAGUUGGUAUAUAAAAUUCUGGUGGGUGGAAAAAGAAUUUGGAAACACUAGUAUAGAAUUUAUUAUGACGCUGUUGUCUAAGGGCGUUUGUCAGACCGUAGAAUUUCUUCGUGGAGUUAUACAUUGCUUUCCGUCUUUUCUCUCUACAGCAAUCAAACAGUGGUGGACCUGAGCUGGAUCCAAACAGACUUCUGCUACAAUGCAGUCUCCGUGCUUAUUGCUGCAGGAGAAAGUACGGGAUGAAAUCUUGCAAAGGAUUCAGAGAAGAUUUAAUCUAAUUAUGAGAAAUGAAACGUUGGACUUAGACUACAUCCUAGAUGUUGCUCAGCAAGAGCUUUGCUUGGCAACAAUGGCUUCACAACACCUCAGCAUCCCGCUAGAACUUAUUAGAAGUCUAUAGGAAUUAAUCAACAUCUUACCUGUUCAGUCUGCUGAAGGAGCAUCAGUUAUUGUGUCAGAAAUUGUAACUACCACUGUGGGGAACCUGGGACGGCCACGCCUUGAAAUGAACAGAGAUGAUCUUGAAAGCAUCCUUUCCACUGCACUUCCUUUAGAACAUUUAGCCAAUUUGUAUGGGGUUUCUAGAUGAACACUUAAUAGGCGGAUGAAAGAACAUGGCCUCUCUGUCCGGGGAUGCUACUCCAAAAUAUCUGAUAAUGAACUUGAUCAAAUUGUGAGGUCCAUAAAAUCCAGAAAGCCAGCAGCGAAACUGAAAAACCAGUGAAAACGUAAAACGGGGCGGAGUGACUGAAAAGCCAGCAGCGAAACUGAAAAACCAGUGAAAACGUAAAACGGGGCGGAGUGACUGAAAAGCCAGCAGCGAAACUGAAAAACCAGUGAAAACGUAAAACGGGGUGGAGUGACUGAAAACCAGCAGCGAAACUGAAAGGUAUGUCUAGAAAGAUUUUAUAUCUUGACGCUGCUGCUAACGACAAAGCCUCAACUGCGUACUCGUUCUUCUUGGAUGGUGUCUGCAAACAUGGCCCUCAAGAGUACGUGGUGACCAGGGUGUGGAAAAUGUGGAUAUUGCCCGGUGCAUGUUUUCUGUACGACGAACUGGACGCAGUAGCUUUGUUGCUGGCAAAAGCGUCCACAAUCAAAGGUAAAACCAAUCAGUACAGAACUUGAUAUGAUUACUGUCCUUGUCUGCAUGCUUGAUCAAUAUAGUAACCCCCCCCCCCUUCCAAUACAUUCUUAGAAUAGAGAGAUUGGGGUGUGAUGUGUGGUCAGCAGUCACCUGUACAUACUACGAUGUACUGCACACACUGGAAGAGGAACACCUGAUUGAUAUCUCCGAUGAGAUGCACCUCUUUUGUGUGCAUUAUGUGUUUCUCCCUCGCCUGAAGUCUGACCUGGAGCAUUUCAUGGGUAGCUGGAACAGGCACCCUCUCAGAACUGAAGGCAACUUAUCUCCAGAGCAGCUGUGGCACAUUGGAAUGCUUCAAACACCCGUGGCUGAGCCAGAUAUUGAGGUACAUCACCAAAUUUGCAAAUCACUCAACUCAUUAAUACUUUUUAAGCAAGUGUCCCCUAAAUAUCACUUCAAAUGGCCUGUAGCAGUUAGCAAUAUGAUCAGUCAGUUGGUGUCUGGAAGGACUUGACUAAGGUUAAUAUUAUUUUAUCUUGGGGAAACAAGUUUGAUUGUGCUCAUUAUCAAAUUGUGAAAACCCAAGGAUUAGAUAAGGGACGGGGAACUUGAUUCAUGUAUAAUCUGUAUGGGUGCUUUUUGGGUGACCUCUUAAGCCAAUAAGUGUCCAGAGCUAGGGGAGGAGCUUUUACAGCAGGUUUAUUGGGGUGACUUUUCAAAAACCUGCACCUACAAUUGCCCACCCUUGAUCAGGUUCUCCACCUGGGGUACAGGAAUUAAUAUUUCUAUGGUGAAUGUAACUGUCUUUCGGCCACUGGAGAAUCUAUUCCAGGAGGGCUGGACUGAUGUUGACCAACAGGAUGGAGUAGUGGUGUCAGAGAUCCCAUGUCCCCUCUCAGACCAGAACCUUGCUGUACUUGAAGGAUUGAUAAAUCCCAUUACCUCACCCUUGCCUCAUAAAGAGCUUUAUAUGCAGACUCUAAAUCUGGUGCAAAGACUACUAUAAGAAGGAAGACCCGAGCAGCAAGAAUUGUUUUAAUACAGAUUUUAAGAAAUUUAUGUCAUGGAUUGUGUAUAACAGAUUGUUUAUUAGUAACAGGCUACAACUGUGACAGUUUACAUUUAAUAUCAGUUUCACAGUUUUGCAUUAAGAACUGUUUUUAAUUGGUUGUAAAUGUUAAAUUGUAAAGAAGCUGUACAUUAAAACCUGAAAUCCUUAACUAAUACAUUUACAGCCUGUGAAAGCCUGCACCACAUUUGAUUGCUGUUGCCACAUUGUUUUUGAAAUCUGAGUAAUGCACACAAUGUGCAGUGGGAAAUGUGAUGGCCUGUGCACAUGCACUAACAACUGGAUAACAAAUGGUGUGGCUUGGCAUCCUUUCCAUACACGUGUGGUCGAAGUGUACUGUGAUUUUAAAGUUCUCUCUCUCUGAAAGAAGUAGGUGCCUGUGUGACUGGCCAGUCAACCACUGCAUCACUUCAGGGACAGAAAGGGCAUCCUCAGCAGUUCCGUCUAGGCCCUGUAUAGCCACAGCUGAUAAUCUGUUCUGUGCAAGAUGACAGAUCUGAAGAUUCCUCAACCUGAAGGAAAUCAAUAAGAAAACAUUCUAAACAUAUAGUUUUACACCAUCACUGAGUAACAGUAGCCAUUGUUAUUUAAAUAAGGAAUAGUUUAAUCAUGAAUUAAUGUUAAGUGAAUUGAUUUACCAAUGACUUGACUAUUGUCUAAAAGUUAAGUAAUUAACAAUGUAAUUGCUUAACAACUGUAUUAUUAUCAAUGUACCAUCUUGAUCAAAGAUGAAAAUUCCAUGUCAUGUACAUCGUUUCUUGUAAUGUUUUUUAGAUCUCCCGUCAAAAGGAAAUCGUAGCACCAUUCUUGUAAAAACGCUGGUGCUGGACCACCCUGUGCAAGACUUGCAGCAAAAAUUUCCCCAGCAACACUGGAAUGAGAGUGAAAGAAAAGACAAAUGCUUAUUACUUUUUCUUAGAAUACUAAUUACUAACAUUAUUCCUACCGAAUUAGUAUGUCUGGAUGCACGAUUUCUACAAGUGAUGGAUACAAUAUAAGAAACUUACCGGAAAAUGCCACUGUCAAGGUCAUUUAAAGAGUAUUUGGGCAUUUUUCCCUUGCCAUCCUCUCCCUCGAAAAGCAGAGUUUCUAAGCCAGCAACCAUCUCUAAGGAAAUUAUGAAAUAAAACAUUUCAGGCACCCUUGUGAUAUUAUUAAAGAUCAACACUUACCACAAACACACACUUGAAGUAGUUUUGUGAUGAUCUGCAUGUCAUUAAAAAAUUUAAAUUAA